RNAcentral lists this ribosomal RNA (253 nucleotides) under uncultured bacterium. RNAcentral describes it as "partial 16S ribosomal RNA". It matches the Rfam family "Bacterial small subunit ribosomal RNA", at positions 524 to 776 of the family's 1533-position model. The record is from RNAcentral.
UACGUAGGGGGCAAGCGUUGUCCGGAAUCAUUGGGCGUAAAGAGCGUGUAGGCGGCUAUUUAAGUCCUGCGUGAAAUCCUGCGGCUCAACCGCAGACGGUCGUGGGAAACUGGAUGGCUAGAGUGCGGGAGAGGAGAGUGGAAUUCCCGGUGUAGCGGUGAAAUGCGCAGAUAUCGGGAGGAACACCGGUGGCGAAGGCGGGUCUCUGGGCAGUAACUGACGCUGAGGAGCGAAAGCGUGGGGAGCGAACAGG